This 416-nucleotide long non-coding RNA is filed under the name Gossypium barbadense (sea-island cotton). RNAcentral describes it as "long non-coding RNA (GBAR_LNC000972)". Lineage: Eukaryota; Viridiplantae; Streptophyta; Magnoliopsida; Malvales; Malvaceae. The record is from RNAcentral.
CCUAAAACAAAAUUAGCAAAUAACACAUGCACCAUAAUUGAAACAAUUUUCUUUAAAACCUUUCUUUGAAAAGAUUGAUCUCUGUAAAUUUGGCUAUCUCAAAUAACGGAAAACAUUGAUCAAACAGUGAAAACUAAGAUAUUGGAACGGUAUUUUUGUCGUAUAGCCUAAAACAAAAGUAGCAAAUAACACAUGCACCAUAAUUAAAACGAUUUUCUUUAAAACCUUUCUUUGAAAAGAUUGAUCUCUGUAAAUUUGGCUAUCUCAAAUAACGGAAAACAUUGAUCAAAAAGUGAAAACUAAGAUAUUGGUUAGAAGAAUGUUGAUACCUCAAUGAAAAUCUAAGGCUUUGUUAAGUAACAGCAUAUUGGAAGUACAAAAGUCCACCAAAAGAAGCCACAGAUGGUAAAACAAUU